GAUGAACGCUGGCGGCGUACCUAAUACAUGCAAGUCGAGCGAACAGACGAGGAGCUUGCUCCUCUGACGUUAGCGGCGGACGGGUGAGUAACACGUGGAUAACCUACCUAUAAGACUGGGAUAACUUCGGGAAACCGGAGCUAAUACCGGAUAAUAUAUUGAACCGCAUGGUUCAAUAGUGAAAGACGGUUUUGCUGUCACUUAUAGAUGGAUCCGCGCCUCAUUAGCUAGUUGGUAAGGUAACGGCUUACCAAGGCAACGAUGCGUAGCCGACCUGAGAGGGUGAUCGGCCACACUGGAACUGAGACACGGUCCAGACUCCUACGGGAGGCAGCAGUAGGGAAUCUUCCGCAAUGGGCGAAAGCCUGACGGAGCAACGCCGCGUGAGUGAUGAAGGUCUUCGGAUCGUAAAACUCUGUUAUUAGGGAAGAACAAAUGUGUAAGUAACUAUGCACGUCUUGACGGUACCUAAUCAGAAAGCCACGGCUAACUACGUG
RNAcentral lists this ribosomal RNA (497 nucleotides) under uncultured bacterium. RNAcentral describes it as "partial 16S ribosomal RNA". It matches the Rfam family "Bacterial small subunit ribosomal RNA", at positions 28 to 507 of the family's 1533-position model. The record is from RNAcentral.